This 497-nucleotide ribosomal RNA is filed under the name uncultured bacterium. Its description in RNAcentral is "partial 16S ribosomal RNA". It matches the Rfam family "Bacterial small subunit ribosomal RNA", at positions 28 to 507 of the family's 1533-position model. The record is from RNAcentral.
GAUGAACGCUGGCGGCGUGCCUAAUACAUGCAAGUCGAGCGAACGGACGAGAAGCUUGCUUCUCUGAUGUUAGCGGCGGACGGGUGAGUAACACGUGGAUAACCUACCUAUAAGACUGGGAUAACUUCGGGAAACCGGAGCUAAUACCGGAUAAUAUUUUGAACCGCAUGGUUCAAAAGUGAAAGACGGUCUUGCUGUCACUUAUAGAUGGAUCCGCGCUGCAUUAGCUAGUUGGUAAGGUAACGGCUUACCAAGGCAACGAUGCAUAGCCGACCUGAGAGGGUGAUAGGCCACACUGGAACUGAGACACGGUCCAGACUCCUACGGGAGGCAGCAGUAGGGAAUCUUCCGCAAUGGGCGAAAGCCUGACGGAGCAACGCCGCGUGAGUGAUGAAGGUCUUCGGAUCGUAAAACUCUGUUAUUAGGGAAGAACAGAUGUGUAAGUAACUGUGCACAUCUUGACGGUACCUAAUCAGAAAGCCACGGCUAACUACGUG